Molecule: ribosomal RNA, 410 nt
Filed under: uncultured microorganism
Description: bacterial SSU rRNA
Rfam family: Bacterial small subunit ribosomal RNA
Source: RNAcentral
CAGCCGCCGCGGUAAUACGUAGGGUGCGAGCGUUAAUCGGAUUUACUGGGCGUAAAGCGUGCGCAGGCGGCCCGUUAAGACAGGUGUGAAAUCCCUGGGCUCAACCUAGGAAUUGCGCUUGUGACUGGCGGGCUCGAGUACGGUAGAGGGGGGUGGAAUUCCUGGUGUAGCAGUGAAAUGCGUAGAGAUCAGGAGGAACACCGAUGGCGAAGGCAGCCCCCUGGGCCUGUACUGACGCUCAUGCACGAAAGCGUGGGGAGCAAACAGGAUUAGAUACCCUGGUAGUCCACGCCCUAAACGAUGGGUACUAGCCGUUCGGUGCGCGAUAGCGCUGAGUGGCGAAGCUAACGCGUGAAGUACCCCGCCUGGGGAGUACGGCCGCAAGGUUGAAACUUAAAGGAAUUGGCGGG